RNAcentral lists this ribosomal RNA (403 nucleotides) under uncultured beta proteobacterium. Its description in RNAcentral is "bacterial SSU rRNA". It matches the Rfam family "Bacterial small subunit ribosomal RNA", at positions 9 to 420 of the family's 1533-position model. The record is from RNAcentral. Lineage: Bacteria; Pseudomonadati; Pseudomonadota; Betaproteobacteria.
GAGUUUGAUCGUGGCUCAGAUUGAACGCUGGCGGCAUGCUUUACACAUGCAAGUCGAACGGGCUGGGGGCAACUCCAGUCAGUGGCGAACGGGUGAGUAAUGCAUCGGAACGUGUCCCAUAGUGGGGGAUAACCCAGCGAAAGCUGGGCUAAUACCGCAUAAGCCCUAUGGAGGAAAGUGGGGGACCGCAAGGCCUCACGCUUUGGGAGCGGCCGAUGUCCGAUUAGCUUGUUGGUGGGGUAAUGGCCUACCAAGGCGACGAUCGGUAGCUGGUCUGAGAGGAUGAUCAGCCACACUGGGACUGAGACACGGCCCAGACUCCUACGGGAGGCAGCAGUGGGGAAUUUUGGACAAUGGGGGCAACCCUGAUCCAGCCAUGCCGCGUGCGGGAAGAAGGCCUCGG